This 213-nucleotide long non-coding RNA is filed under the name Manihot esculenta (cassava). Its description in RNAcentral is "long non-coding RNA (MESC_LNC002044)". Lineage: Eukaryota; Viridiplantae; Streptophyta; Magnoliopsida; Malpighiales; Euphorbiaceae. The record is from RNAcentral.
AAAGACCAGUGGGACCCAUUCUACGUUCGCUGGCACUAUGUAAGAGAAAGACCAGGACCCAUUCUACGUUCUGGCACUUUGGAAUGUUAUGUUAUGCUAUGUAAGGGAAAGACCAGGACCCAUUCUACGUUCUGGCACUAUUGGAUAUGUAGAGGACUAUUGGUGACAAGUUCAUCCUUGAUGUGAUAUGGUUGUGAUGUGAUGCAUUCCAUG